RNAcentral lists this ribosomal RNA (443 nucleotides) under uncultured bacterium. RNAcentral's name for it is "partial 16S ribosomal RNA". It matches the Rfam family "Bacterial small subunit ribosomal RNA", at positions 338 to 795 of the family's 1533-position model. The record is from RNAcentral.
CCUACGGGUGGCAGCAGUGGGGAAUAUUGGGCAAUGGGCGAAAGCCUGACCCAGCAAUGCCGUGUGAAUGAAGAAGGUCUUAGGAUUGUAAAAUUCUGUCCUAUGGGAGGAAAAAAAUGACGGUACCAUAGGAUUAAGCCCCGGCUAACUACGUGCCAGCAGCCGCGGUAAUACGUAGGUGGCGAGCGUUGUCCGGAAUUACUGGGCGUAAGGAGAGCGUAGGCGGCACUACAAGUCGCAUGUGAAAUACCCGGGCUUAACUCGGGGGUUGCAUGGGAAACUGUCGUGCUUGAGUCCAGGGAAGGCAGGCGGAAUUCGUCGUGUAGCGGUGAAAUGCUUAGAUAUGAGGAAGAACCCCGAUGGCGAAGGCGGCUUGCUGCAGCGGAACUGACGCUGAGGCUCGAAAGCGCGGGUAGCAAACAGGAUUAGAUACCCGAGUAGUC